AUACGUAGGGGGCGAGCGUUGUCCGGAAUGAUUGGGCGUAAAGGGCGCGUAGGCGGCCCGGGAAGUCUGGAGUGAAAGUCCUGUUUUUAAGAUGGAAAUUGCUUUGGAUACUGUCGGGCUUGAGUGCAGGAGAGGUAAGUGGAAUUCCCAGUGUAGCGGUGAAAUGCGUAGAGAUUGGGAGGAACACCAGUGGCGAAGGCGACUUACUGGACUGUAACUGACGCUGAGGCGCGAAAGUGUGGGGAGCAAACAGGAUUAGAUACCCUGGUAGUCCACACUGUAAACGAUGAAUGCUAGGUGUAGGGGGUAUCGACCCCUUCUGUGCCGCAGUCAACACAAUAAGCAUUCCGCCUGGGGAGUACGGCCGCAAGGUUGAAACUCAAAGGAAUUGACGGGG
RNAcentral lists this ribosomal RNA (397 nucleotides) under uncultured bacterium. Its description in RNAcentral is "partial 16S ribosomal RNA". It matches the Rfam family "Bacterial small subunit ribosomal RNA", at positions 523 to 918 of the family's 1533-position model. The record is from RNAcentral.